RNAcentral lists this ribosomal RNA (391 nucleotides) under uncultured bacterium. RNAcentral describes it as "bacterial SSU rRNA". It matches the Rfam family "Bacterial small subunit ribosomal RNA", at positions 30 to 417 of the family's 1533-position model. The record is from RNAcentral.
AUUGAACGCUGGCGGCACGCCUAACACAUGCAAGUCGAGCGGUAACAUGUUUAGUAGCAAUACUAAAUGAUGACGAGCGGCGGACGGGUGAGGAACACGUAGGAACCUGCCCAAGAGAGGGGGAUAACUAAGGGAAACUUUAGCUAAUACCGCAUAAUCUCUGAGGAGAAAAGUUGCCCGUAAGGGUAGCGCUUUUGGAGGGGCCUGCGUCCGAUUAGUUAGUUGGUGAGGUAAUGGCUCACCAAGACUGUGAUCGGUAACUGGUCUGAGAGGACGACCAGUCACACUGGGACUGAGACACGGCCCAGACUCCUACGGGAGGCAGCAGUGGGGAAUCUUGGACAAUGGGGGCAACCCUGAUCCAGCGAUGCCGCGUGGGUGAAGAAGGCCU